This 460-nucleotide ribosomal RNA is filed under the name uncultured bacterium. Its description in RNAcentral is "partial 16S ribosomal RNA". It matches the Rfam family "Bacterial small subunit ribosomal RNA", at positions 338 to 795 of the family's 1533-position model. The record is from RNAcentral.
CCUACGGGUGGCAGCAGUGAGGAAUAUUGGUCAAUGGACGCAAGUCUGAACCAGCCAUGCCGCGUGCAGGAAGACUGCUCUAUGAGUUGUAAACUGCUUUUGUACGAGGGUAAACUCAGAUACGCGUACCUGUCUGAAAGUAUCUUACGAAUAAGGAUCGGCUAACUCCGUGCCAGCAGCCGCGGUAAUACGGAGGAUUCAAGCGUUAUCCGGAUUUAUUGGGUUUAAAGGGUGCGUAGGCGGUCGGAUAAGUUAGAUGUGAAAUCCCGAGGCUCAACUUCGGAAUUGCCUCUGAUACUGGUAGGCUAGAGAGUAGUUGCGGUAGGCGGAAUGUAUGGUGUAGCGGUGAAAUGCUUAGAGAUCAUACAGAACACCGAUUGCGAAGGCAGCUUACCAAGCUACUUCUGACGUUGAGGCACGAAAGCGUGGGGAGCAAACAGGAUUAGAUACCCUUGUAGUC